This 483-nucleotide ribosomal RNA is filed under the name uncultured bacterium. Its description in RNAcentral is "partial 16S ribosomal RNA". It matches the Rfam family "Bacterial small subunit ribosomal RNA", at positions 29 to 507 of the family's 1533-position model. The record is from RNAcentral.
UUGAACGCUGGCGGCAUGCUUUACACAUGCCAGUCGAACGGCAGCGCGGGCUUCGGCCUGGCGGCGAGUGGCGAACGGGUGAGUAAUGCAUCGGAACGUGCCCAGUAGUGGGGGAUAGCCCGGCGAAAGCCGGAUUAAUACCGCAUACGACCUGAGGGUGAAAGCGGGGGACCGAAAGGCCUCGCGCUAUUGGAGCGGCCGAUGUCGGAUUAGCUAGUUGGUGGGGUAAAGGCUUACCAAGGCGACGAUCCGUAGCUGGUCUGAGAGGACGACCAGCCACACUGGGACUGAGACACGGCCCAGACUCCUACGGGAGGCAGCAGUGGGGAAUUUUGGACAAUGGGGGCAACCCUGAUCCAGCCAUGCCGCGUGCGGGAAGAAGGCCUUCGGGUUGUAAACCGCUUUUGUUCGGGAAGAAAUCCUCUGGGCUAAUACCCCGGGGGGAUGACGGUACCGGAAGAAUAAGCACCGGCUAACUACGUG